This 1421-nucleotide ribosomal RNA is filed under the name uncultured bacterium. Its description in RNAcentral is "16S ribosomal RNA". It matches the Rfam family "Bacterial small subunit ribosomal RNA". The record is from RNAcentral.
CAUGCAAGUCGAACGGUGAAGUCCAGCUUGCNUGGAACAGUGGCGAAAGGGUGAGUAACGCGUGAGUAACCUACCCCUAAGUUUGGGAUAACGGCCUGAAAGGCUAAUACCAGAUGUGAACCGGGCCCGCAUGUGCCCGAGUUUAAAGAUUUAUCGUUUAGGGACGGACUCGCGUUCCAUUAGCUGGUUGGUGAGGUAACGGCCCACCAAGGCGAUGACGGAUAUCUGGUCUGAGAGGAUGGCCAGCCACACUGGGACUGAGACACUGCCCAGACUCCUACGGGAGGCUGCAGUCGAGAAUCUUCCGCAAUGCGCGAAAGUCGACGGAGCAAUGCCGCGUGCGGAUGAAGGCCUUCGGGUCGUAAACCGCUGUCACUGGGAACGAAAACAAUGACGGUACCCAGAGAGGAAGCCACGGCUAACUACGUGCCAGCAGCCGCGGUAAUACGUAGGUGGCGAGCGUUGUUCGGAUUUAUUGGGCGUAAAGGGUCCGUAGGGGGCCUGGCAAGUCUGACGUGAAAGCCCGGGGCUCAACCCCGAAUGGCGUUGGAAACUGCGCGGGCUGGAGUGUCGUAGAGGAAAGCGGAAUUCCUGGUGUAGCGGUGGAAUGCGUAGAUAUCAGGAAGAACACCGAGAGCGAAGGCAGCUUUCUGGGCGACAACUGAUCCUGAAGGACGAAAGCGUGGGGAGCAAACAGGAUUAGAUACCCUGGUAGUCCACGCCGUAAACGUUGCGCGCUUGGUCUGGGAGGGCUCAACCCCUUCCGGAUCGGAGCUAACGCGCUAAGCGCGCCGCCUGGGGACUACGGCCGCAMGKMWAAAACUCAAAGGAAUUGACGGGGGCCCGCACAAGNNGUGGAGCAUGUGGCUUAAUUCGAGGCAACGCGAAGAACCUUACCUAGGCUUGACACGCGCUGGAAGAUUCUGGAGACAGGAUUGCUUCGGGGCCGGCGCGCAGGUGCUGCAUGGCUGUCGUCAGCUCGUGUCGUGAGAUGUUCGGUUAAGUCCGGCAACGAGCGCAACCCGUGUCGUUAGUUGCUACCAGAUAAUGCUGGGCACUCUAACGAGACUGCCCGUGUUAAGCGGGAGGAAGGCGCGGACGACGUCAAGUCCGUAUGGCCCUUAUGCCCAGGGCUGCACACGUGCUACAAUGACCGGUACAAUGGGACGCGAGGGCCGAGGCGGAGCAAAUCCAGAAAACCGGUCCCAGUUCGGAUGCGGUCUGCAACUCGACCGCGUGAAGUCGGAAUCGCUAGUAAAGGCGUAUCAGCAACGACGCCUUGAAUACGUUCCCGGGCCUUGUACACACCGCCCGUCACAUCAUGGGAGCUGAUUGCACCCGAAGUCGCCGGCCUAACCCGCAAGGGAUGGAGGCGCCGAAGGUGUGGUCAGUGACUGGGAUGAAGUCGUAACAAGGUAACC